AAAAGGUGGCUAUGCUACCGCUUUUGGAUGGGCCCGCGGCGCAUUAGCUAGUUGGUGGGGUAAAGGCUUACCAAGGCAAUGAUGCGUAGCCGAACUGAGAGGUUGAUCGGCCACAUUGGGACUGAGACACGGCCCAAACUCCUACGGGAGGCAGCAGUAGGGAAUCUUCCACAAUGGGCGAAAGCCUGAUGGAGCAACGCCGCGUGGGUGAAGAAGGUCUUCGGAUCGUAAAACCCUGUUGUUAGAGAAGAAAGUGCGUGAGAGUAACUGUUCACGUUUCGACGGUAUCUAACCAGAAAGCCACGGCUAACUACGUGCCAGCAGCCGCGGUAAUACGUAGGUGGCAAGCGUUAUCCGGAUUUAUUGGGCGUAAAGGGAACGCAGGCGGUCUUUUAAGUCUGAUGUGAAAGCCUUCGGCUUAACCGGAGUAGUGCAUUGGAAACUGGGAGACUUGAGUGCAGAAGAGGAGAGUGGAACUCCAUGUGUAGCGGUGAAAUGCGUAGAUAUAUGGAAGAACACCAGUGGCGAAAGCGGCUCUCUGGUCUGUAACUGACGCUGAGGUUCGAAAGCGUGGGUAGCAAACAGGAUUAGAUACCCUGGUAGUCCACGCC
Molecule: ribosomal RNA, 611 nt
Filed under: uncultured bacterium
Lineage: Bacteria
Description: bacterial SSU rRNA
Rfam family: Bacterial small subunit ribosomal RNA
Source: RNAcentral